Molecule: ribosomal RNA, 478 nt
Filed under: uncultured bacterium
Lineage: Bacteria
Description: bacterial SSU rRNA
Rfam family: Bacterial small subunit ribosomal RNA
Source: RNAcentral
UUGAACGCUGGCGGCAUGCCUUACACAUGCAAGUCGAACGGUAGAGGAGCAAUCCUCGAGAGUGGCGAACCGGUGAGUAAUGUAUCGGAACGUGCCCAGUAGUGGGGGAUAGCCCGGCGAAAGCCGGAUUAAUACCGCAUACGUCCUGAGGGAGAAAGCGGGGGACCUGCAAGGGCCUCGCGUUAUUGGAGUGGCCGAUGUCGGAUUAGCUAGUUGGUGGGGUAAAGGCCUACCAAGGCGACGAUCCGUAGCUGGUCUGAGAGGACGACCAGCCACACUGGGACUGAGACACGGCCCAGACUCCUACGGGAGGCAGCAGUGGGGAAUUUUGGACAAUGGGCGCAAGCCUGAUCCAGCCAUUCCGCGUGAGUGAAGAAGGCCUUCGGGUUGUAAAGCUCUUUCGGCCGGGACGAAAUCGCACGGGUCAAUACCCUGUGUGGAUGACAGUACUGGAAGAAGAAGCACCGGCUAACUACGU